AUCAAAUCAAAUCAAAUUUAUUUAUAUAGCCCUUCGUACAUCAGCUGAUAUCUCAAAGUGCUGUACAGAAACCCAGCCCAAAACCCCAAACAGCAAGCAAUGCAGGUGUAGAAGCACGGUGGCUAGGAAAAACUCCCUAGAAAGGCCAAAACCUAGGAAGAAACCUAGAGAGGAACCAGGCUAUGUGGGGUGGCCAGUCCUCUUCUGGCUGUGCCGGGUGGAGAUUAUAACAGAACAUGGCCAAGAUGUUCAAAUGUUCAUAAAUGACCAGCAUGGUCGAAUAAUAAUAAGGCAGAACAGUUGAAACUGGAGCAGCAGCACAGUCAGGUGGAAGUUGAAACUGGAGCAGCAGCAUGGCCAGGUGGACAGGGGACAGCAAGGAGUCAUCAUGUCAGGUAGUCCUGGGGCAUGGUCCUAGGGCUCAGGUCCUCCGAGAGAGAGAAAGAAAGAGAGAAGGAGAGAAUUAGAGAACGCACACUUAGAUUCACACAGG
Oncorhynchus tshawytscha (Chinook salmon) is the source of this 493-nucleotide long non-coding RNA. The record is from Ensembl. Lineage: Eukaryota; Metazoa; Chordata; Actinopteri; Salmoniformes; Salmonidae.